AACGAACGCUGGCGGCAGGCCUAACACAUGCAAGUCGAGCGCGCCCUUCGGGGUGAGCGGCGGACGGGUGAGUAACGCGUGGGAACGUGCCCUUUUCUACGGAAUAGCCUCGGGAAACUGAGAGUAAUACCGUAUACGCCCUUUGGGGGAAAGAUUUAUCGGAAAAGGAUCGGCCCGCGUUGGAUUAGGUAGUUGGUGGGGUAAUGGCCUAUCAAGCCGACGAUCCAUAGCUGGUUUGAGAGGAUGAGCAGCCACACUGGGACUGAGACACGGCCCAGACUCCUACGGGAGGCAGCAGUGGGGAAUCUUAGACAAUGGGGGCAACCCUGAUCUAGCCAUGCCGCGUGAGUGAUGAAGGCCGUAGGGUUGUAAAGCUCUUUCAGCUGGGAAGAUAAUGACGGUACCAGCAGAAGAAGCCCCGGCUAACUCCGUG
Molecule: ribosomal RNA, 433 nt
Filed under: uncultured bacterium
Lineage: Bacteria
Description: partial 16S ribosomal RNA
Rfam family: Bacterial small subunit ribosomal RNA
Source: RNAcentral